This 597-nucleotide long non-coding RNA is filed under the name Equus asinus (donkey). Its description in RNAcentral is "lncRNA (ENSEASG00005035700.1)". Lineage: Eukaryota; Metazoa; Chordata; Mammalia; Perissodactyla; Equidae. The record is from RNAcentral.
GCACCUCUCUAUGGGCCUGGGCUUUGCUGCUCAUAGGACAGAGGCUGCGUACCUUCUCAGCAUCUUUGUAUUGUCCUCAGCUCAACAAUAUCCUUUUCAUUUGGAUUGUGGUGUGUGGAACUGAACUCAAUACUCCAGGUGAGGUGACCUCCACAUAAGGGAGUGGCCUUUAUAUCCUCUCUGAAUGGAAUUUCUCUUGCAUUUCCCACCAAGGUCAUCUUCCUGGCUCAUUCAACGUGCUAUUGAUCUGUAUCAAGUCAGCAGAGGCUCCUACACGGUUCAGCUUUCCUGUUCAGGGACCUGUCAGUCCAUCAGUUGGGAAGACACCUACUUUAUUGGGACCCCAAGAAAGGCAUAGUCAAACGCUCUUUGAAGAUCUGGCUGCACUCUGACUACGGCGUUGCCUUUAUUUGGCAGCUACCAAAAAAGAACGUGGUGUUAUUUUCCAUGAAGGUGGGGGUUUUUUUCAUUCAAAAGAUAUUUACUAAGUGCCAGGCAAAUGGUAGGCACUCAGUAAGUUUUGAAUGAAUGGAUGCCUUUGUACUUCCUGAAUUAUGUAGGCUUCUAUUACUCCCUCUGACUGACUGGUUUUGACAU